This 499-nucleotide ribosomal RNA is filed under the name uncultured Glomeromycotina. Its description in RNAcentral is "partial small subunit ribosomal RNA". It matches the Rfam family "Eukaryotic small subunit ribosomal RNA", at positions 591 to 1092 of the family's 1831-position model. The record is from RNAcentral. Lineage: Eukaryota; Fungi; Glomeromycota.
CCAAUAGCGUAUAUUAAAGUUGUUGCAGUUAAAAAGCUCGUAGUUGAAUUUCGAGAUCGGUUUAUUGGUCGUGCUAUUGUACGUACUGGUAUUACCGGUUUCUCCUUUCUGACGAACAUUAAUGCCAUUAAUUUGGUGUUUUGGGAAAUCAGGACUGUUACUUUGAAAAAAUUAGAGUGUUUAAAGCAGGCUCACGCUUGAAUACAUUAGCAUGGAAUAACGGAAUAGGACGUUUGAUUCUAUUUUGUUGGUUUCUAGGAUCGACGUAAUGAUUAAUAGGGAUAGUUGGGGGCAUUAGUAUUCAAUUGUCAGAGGUGAAAUUCUUGGAUUUAUUGAAGACUAACUACUGCGAAAGCAUUUGCCAAGGAUGUUUUCAUUAAUCAAGAACGAAAGUUAGGGGAUCGAAGACGAUCAGAUACCGUCGUAGUCUUAACCAUAAACUAUGCCGACUAGGGAGCGGAUGAUGUUAAUUUUUUAAUGACUCAUUCGGCGCCUUACG